RNAcentral lists this ribosomal RNA (251 nucleotides) under uncultured bacterium. Its description in RNAcentral is "partial 16S ribosomal RNA". It matches the Rfam family "Bacterial small subunit ribosomal RNA", at positions 524 to 774 of the family's 1533-position model. The record is from RNAcentral.
UACGUAUGGUGCAAGCGUUAUCCGGAUUUACUGGGUGUAAAGGGAGCGCAGGCGGUGCGGCAAGUCUGAUGUGAAAGCCCGGGGCCCAACCCCGGUACUGCAUUGGAAACCGCCGUACUUGAGUGUCGGAGGGGUAAGUGGAAUUCCUAGUGUAGCGGUGAAAUGCGUAGAUAUUAGGAGGAACACCAGUGGCGAAGGCGGCUUACUGGACGACAACUGACGCUGAGGCUCGAAAGCGUGGGGAGCAAACA